This 439-nucleotide ribosomal RNA is filed under the name uncultured bacterium. Its description in RNAcentral is "partial 16S ribosomal RNA". It matches the Rfam family "Bacterial small subunit ribosomal RNA", at positions 339 to 795 of the family's 1533-position model. The record is from RNAcentral.
CUACGGGUCGCUGCAGUGGGGAAUAUUGCACAAUGGAGGAAACUCUGAUGCAGCAACGCCGCAUGGAGGAUGACACUUUUCGGAGCGUAAACUCCUUUUAUAUAGGAAGAAGAUGACGGUACUAUAUGAAUAAGCGCCGGCUAACUCCGUGCCAGCAGCCGCGGUAAUACGGAGGGCGCAAGCGUUACUCGGAAUCACUGGGCGUAAAGAGCGUGUAGGCGGAUUAAAAAGUCAGAAGUGAAACCCUAUAGCUUAACUAUAGAACUGCUUCUGAAACUCUUAAUCUAGAAUAUGGGAGAGGUAGAUGGAAUUUCUGGUGUAGGGGUAAAAUCCGUAGAGAUCAGAAGGAAUACCGAUUGCGAAGGCGAUCUACUAGAACAUUAUUGACGCUGAGACGCGAAAGCGUGGGGAGCAAACAGGAUUAGAUACCCCCGUAGUC